Osmerus eperlanus (European smelt) is the source of this 131-nucleotide small nucleolar RNA. RefSeq annotates it as small nucleolar RNA SNORA15. NCBI's taxonomy places the organism in Eukaryota, Metazoa, Chordata, Actinopteri, Osmeriformes, Osmeridae. The transcript has a single exon. The record is from RefSeq and is a predicted model, not a curated record.
GCAUGGAGAAUUCUGUGUUACUCUGUCCGUAGUAAAUGCAGUCAGACACCAUGCAAAAGCACUUCUCACUCUCUCUAUAACCAGCAGUGGGAGCCCAAUCUUGCACUGUUUCUAUGAGAAUGAGUACAAUC